Molecule: ribosomal RNA, 465 nt
Filed under: Vreelandella stevensii
Lineage: Bacteria; Pseudomonadati; Pseudomonadota; Gammaproteobacteria; Oceanospirillales; Halomonadaceae
Description: partial 16S ribosomal RNA
Rfam family: Bacterial small subunit ribosomal RNA
Source: RNAcentral
CCUACGGGUGGCAGCAGUGGGGAAUAUUGGACAAUGGGCGAAAGCCUGAUCCAGCCAUGCCGCGUGUGUGAAGAAGGCCUUCGGGUUGUAAAGCACUUUCAGUGGGGAAGAAAGCCUUGGGGCUAAUACCCUCGAGGAAGGACAUCACCCACAGAAGAAGCACCGGCUAACUCCGUGCCAGCAGCCGCGGUAAUACGGAGGGUGCGGGCGUUAAUCGGAAUUACUGGGCGUAAAGCGCGCGUAGGCGGUCUGAUAAGCCGGUUGUGAAAGCCCCGGGCUCAACCUGGGAACGGCAUCCGGAACUGUCAGGCUAGAGUGCAGGAGAGGAAGGUAGAAUUCCCGGUGUAGCGGUGAAAUGCGUAGAGAUCGGGAGGAAUACCAGUGGCGAAGGCGGCCUUCUGGACUGGCACUGACGCUGAGGUGCGAAAGCGUGGGUAGCAAACAGGAUUAGAUACCCGGGUAGUC